AGGAGAGCUGCCUGCUGUAUUAAAAAGAAGGGAUCGCCUAGACAGGCACUAUAGAACCCCAGCCAACUGGGCUCUGUACACAGCUAAAGGAACAGACGACAAGUAAGCAAAGCAAAGCAAGAAAAAGAAGCUCAAAAAAACUAGGGUACAGAACGAUGAUGAUGUCGUUGGAUGCAAGAAGAGAGGUGCUUUGCUCCUGCCAAGAUCCACAACCUCGCCUCAUCUUUGAUUCUCUGAAGUACCACAAAAUUGGCGGACUCUCUGUGCUCAAACACUCUCGCAUUUCUCUCCUUCCAGAUCUCCCAGCAUACUAGUAUAAUGAGUGAACGUAGACCUUUCCUACUUGU
RNAcentral lists this long non-coding RNA (347 nucleotides) under Sorghum bicolor (sorghum). RNAcentral's name for it is "long non-coding RNA (SBIC_LNC003407)". Lineage: Eukaryota; Viridiplantae; Streptophyta; Magnoliopsida; Poales; Poaceae. The record is from RNAcentral.